UAGGGAAUCUUCCACAAUGGACGCAAGUCUGAUGGAGCAACGCCGCGUGAGUGAAGAAGGUCUUCGGAUCGUAAAACUCUGUUGUUAGAGAAGAACACGAGUGAGAGUAACUGUUCAUUCGAUGACGGUAUCUAACCAGCAAGUCACGGCUAACUACGUGCCAG
RNAcentral lists this ribosomal RNA (164 nucleotides) under uncultured bacterium. RNAcentral describes it as "partial 16S rRNA". It matches the Rfam family "Bacterial small subunit ribosomal RNA", at positions 355 to 511 of the family's 1533-position model. The record is from RNAcentral.